UACGUAGGGUCCAAGCGUUAUCCGGAAUCACUGGGCGUAAAGCGUGCGUAGGCGGAUAUUUAAGUGAGAUGUGAAAGCGCGGGGCUCAACCCUGUCGUUGUGUCUCAUACUGGAUAUCUAGAGGGAAGCAGAGGCAAGUGGAAUUUGUAGUGUAGCAGUGAAAUGCGUAGAUAUUACAAGGAACACCAAUGGCGAAGGCAGCUUGCUGGGCUUCUUCUGACGCUGAGGUACGAAAGCGUGGGGAGCGAACAGG
Molecule: ribosomal RNA, 253 nt
Filed under: uncultured bacterium
Lineage: Bacteria
Description: partial 16S ribosomal RNA
Rfam family: Bacterial small subunit ribosomal RNA
Source: RNAcentral